CCUACGUGCGUCAGCAGUGAGGAAUAUUGGUCAAUGGACGAGAGUCUGAACCAGCCAAGUAGCGUGAAGGAUGACUGCCCUAUGGGUUGUAAACUUCUUUUAUAUGGGAAUAAAAUGUUCCACGUGUGGGAUUUUGUAUGUACCAUAUGAAUAAGGAUCGGCUAACUCCGUGCCAGCAGCCGCGGUAAUACGGAGGAUCCGAGCGUUAUCCGGAUUUAUUGGUUUUAAAGGUAGCGUAGGUGGAUUGUUAAGUAAGUUGUGAAAGUUUGCGGCUCAACCGUAAAAUUGCAGUUGAAACUGGCAGUCGUGAGUACAGUAGAGGUGGGCGGAAAUCGUGGUGUAGCGGGGAAAUGCUUAGAUAUCACGAAGAACUCCGAUUGCGAAGGCAGUUCACUGGACUGCAACUGACACUGAGGCUCGAAAGUGUGGGUAUCAAACAGGAUUAGAUACCCGUGUAGUC
RNAcentral lists this ribosomal RNA (460 nucleotides) under uncultured bacterium. RNAcentral describes it as "partial 16S ribosomal RNA". It matches the Rfam family "Bacterial small subunit ribosomal RNA", at positions 338 to 795 of the family's 1533-position model. The record is from RNAcentral.